AUGGUUUUUUCCACCGCUUUGAACCGAACCGGUGGCAAAAAUAUUUUUUUAAAAAAAUACCCCUUAUAUUUUUCUAAACCCUACCCUACCUCAUACUCGGCCUCCCUCCUCCUCUCUCUCUCCUGAUCUCCUCUCCUCUCUUCUCUCUCCUCUCCUCUCCUCUCCUCUCUUUAUUCUCUCUCCUCUUUCCUCUCCCUAAAAAAAACCCCCUUGUUCACCUAAACACCACCAAAGACGACCACUAACUCCACCACCAACUCCAACACCCAAGACCACGAACAACAACGAAUCUAAUCAAGAUGGGUCUGAUUUUUUAGGUACAUCAAUUUAGAUCUUAAAAAUUUAAAUUGAAGAAUCAAGAUUCAAGAAUAUUGGUUUAGAUGUGUAGGGUUUUUAUUUAUUUAUAUGUUGUAAUUUAUUGUAAUUAUUUUUAUUAUAUAUUGUAAAAUUUGGAUUAUAUUG
This is a long non-coding RNA of Chenopodium quinoa (quinoa), 462 nucleotides long. RefSeq lists it as uncharacterized. NCBI's taxonomy places the organism in Eukaryota, Viridiplantae, Streptophyta, Magnoliopsida, Caryophyllales, Amaranthaceae. The record is from RefSeq and is a predicted model, not a curated record. The transcript has 2 exons.